Molecule: unclassified non-coding RNA, 241 nt
Filed under: uncultured Pseudogymnoascus
Lineage: Eukaryota; Fungi; Ascomycota; Leotiomycetes; Myxotrichaceae
Description: sequence contains ITS2
Rfam family: 5.8S ribosomal RNA (bases 1-52)
Source: RNAcentral
AACGCACAUUGCGCCCCCUGGUAUUCCGGGGGGCAUGCCUGUCCGAGCGUCAUUACAACCCUCAAGCUCAGCUUGGUGUUGGGCCCCGCCGCCCCGGCGGGCCCUAAAGUCAGUGGCGGUGCCAUCCGGCUCCGAGCGUAGUAAUUCUUCUCGCUCUGGAGGUCCGGUUGUGUGCUUGCCAUCAACCCCCAAUUUUUUUCAGGUUGACCUCGGAUCAGGUAGGGAUACCCGCUGAACUUAA